AGAGCGAACGCUGGCGGCAGGCUUAACACAUGCAAGUCGAACGGAUCCUUCGGGAUUAGUGGCGGACGGGUGAGUAACACGUGGGAACGUGCCUUUUGGUUCGGAACAACUCAGGGAAACUUGAGCUAAUACCGGAUGUGCCCUUCGGGGGAAAGAUUUAUCGCCAUUAGAGCGGCCCGCGUCUGAUUAGCUAGUUGGUGAGGUAAAGGCCCACCAAGGCUACGAUCAGUAGUUGGUCUGAGAGGAUGACCAGCCACAUUGGGACUGAGACACGGCCCAAACUCCUACGGGAGGCAGCAGUGGGGAAUCUUGCGCAAUGGGCGAAAGCCUGACGCAGCCAUGCCGCGUGAAUGAUGAAGGUCUUAGGAUUGUAAAAUUCUUUCACCGGGGACGAUAAUGACGGUACCCGGAGAAGAAGCCCCGGCUAACUUCGCGCCAGCAGCCGC
This 446-nucleotide ribosomal RNA is filed under the name uncultured bacterium. RNAcentral describes it as "SSU rRNA". It matches the Rfam family "Bacterial small subunit ribosomal RNA", at positions 26 to 518 of the family's 1533-position model. The record is from RNAcentral.